AUGUCCCCAGGAUGGGCGGGAG
Molecule: ribosomal RNA, 22 nt
Filed under: Rhizanthella gardneri
Lineage: Eukaryota; Viridiplantae; Streptophyta; Magnoliopsida; Asparagales; Orchidaceae
Also listed under: 1 other name
Description: partial 26S ribosomal RNA
Source: RNAcentral